Long non-coding RNA from Cajanus cajan (pigeon pea), 261 nucleotides. RefSeq lists it as uncharacterized. The record is from RefSeq and is a predicted model, not a curated record. Lineage: Eukaryota; Viridiplantae; Streptophyta; Magnoliopsida; Fabales; Fabaceae.
AUGUACUGCAAGUUGUCGUAAAACGUUCAACGAUGUUCCAUAUGAUUGUAUUAAUGCUUGUGGUUUGACCAACUCUGUUGACAUCAACACUGAUGUUGGUCUUCGAAACUCUUAUGUAGUUGAUUCUUGCUUGCAAUCAUGCAAGAACAAGUGAUACUACAUUACAAGACUGGAAAAGUAAAAUAUUCUUAGAAGAAAUGUCAUAAAUAAAAAAAUUGUAACAAAAGAAUUUUAAUAAAUGAGUAAUGCAUUUUUUCUUUA